CUAGCAGUAUCAGAGUUUGAUCCUGGCUCAGGAUGAACGCUAGCUACAGGCUUAACACAUGCAAAUCGAGGGGUCUUUUUUAGCUUGCUUUAAAGACGACCGGCGCACGGGUGAGUAACGCGUAUCCAACCUGCCCUUCAUAUUGGUAUAGCCUCCCGAAAGGGAGAUUAAUCCCGAAUAACAUGAGAGAGUUGCCUGAUUUUCUCAUGAAAGCUCCGGCGAUGAAGGAUGGGGAUGCGUUCCAUUAGGUAGUAGGCGGGGUAACGGCCCACCUAGCCGACGAUGGAUAGGGGUUCUGAGAGGAAGGUCCCCCACACUGGAACUGAGACACGGUCCAG
This 338-nucleotide ribosomal RNA is filed under the name uncultured bacterium. RNAcentral's name for it is "bacterial SSU rRNA". It matches the Rfam family "Bacterial small subunit ribosomal RNA", at positions 1 to 334 of the family's 1533-position model. The record is from RNAcentral.